This 21-nucleotide small nuclear RNA is filed under the name Arabidopsis thaliana (thale cress). RNAcentral describes it as "snRNA_07586". The record is from RNAcentral. Lineage: Eukaryota; Viridiplantae; Streptophyta; Magnoliopsida; Brassicales; Brassicaceae.
GGCUUGAGCAUAUAAGCCCAA